This 1681-nucleotide unclassified non-coding RNA is filed under the name uncultured fungus. Its description in RNAcentral is "sequence contains 18S rRNA gene, ITS1, 5.8S rRNA gene, ITS2, 28S rRNA gene". The stretch from base 654 to 1681 matches the Rfam family "Eukaryotic large subunit ribosomal RNA", at positions 1 to 961 of the family's 3401-position model. The record is from RNAcentral. Lineage: Eukaryota; Fungi.
GGAAGGAUCAUUAACAAAUGUCCCAACCACCCCACGUCUGUGAACUGUUACCCCAAAAGCUUUGGGUGUGCACCGUGCCAGACCCCCCAGUCAGCAAUGCCUGGGAGGCUCUAGCCGGACCACCUGUAUAUUUACGUUGAAAUACCCUUCACUGAGACUUUAUACUAAAAAUAAAGACAACUUUUUAGCAACGGAUCUCUAGGCUCUCGCAACGAUGAAGAACGCAGCGAAAUGCGAUAAGUAAUGUGAAUUGCAGACCCCGUGAAUCAUCAAAUCUUUGAACGCACAUUGCACUGUCUGGAACUCCGGACAGUAUGCCUGUUUGAGCAUCAGUCCCAUCUUUCAUCCUCCUUGGCCCUCAAGCCUUUGGGGUGUGGAGACUUGAGCAUUGCUGGGCUAACAGCUUGCUUGGAAGGUAUCUGGCACGCGAAGGCGUUCUGUAGAACCAACGUCCUUGGACUAACUCUACUCCACCCCGAGCGAUGCCAUUCUCUGAGGCAAAGCGUUCAGUUUGAACAAAAAAAUUCAAACUGAGAGCCUCUCUGGUUUCCUGGUCUGAAUCAAAAGUUCACCCCUACUCCAGAGACCUCUGGGAUUUCAGCUGAAUUUUUUCAGUUGAUCACCCCAACUUGGUCGCUCGUCGACCAGAUUAUUGAUCUCAAAUCAGGCAAGAUUACCCGCUGAACUUAAGCAUAUUAAUAAGCGGAGGAAAAGAAACUAACAAGGAUUCCCCCAGUAACGGCGAGUGAAGCGGGAUCAGCUCAAAUUUCUAAUCUCCUAGGAGAAUUGUAGUUUAAAGAAGUGUCUUCGACGGCAUCCUAGGUAAAAGUCUCUUGGAAAAGGGCGUCAUAGAGGGUGAGAACCCCGUACAUGAUCUAGGAAAUGCUGCUCUGUGAAACACCUUCAAAGAGUCGGAUUGUUUGGGAAUGCAGUCCAAAGUGGGUGGUAUAUUCCAUCUAAGGCUAAAUAUUGGCGAGAGACCGAUAGCGAACAAGUACCGUGAGGGAAAGAUGAAAAGCACUUUGAAAAGAGAGUCAAAUAGUACGUGAAAUUGCUAAAAGGGAAACGAUUGAAGUCAGUGUUAUGCCUGGGAAAUCAACCGUCAGUAUCUGAUGGUGCACUUUCACAGGCGUAAGUCAACAUCAGUUUGAGGACGUGGAAAAAAUCCUGGGAAGGUAGCUGGCCUUCGGGCCAGUGUUAUAGCCUGGGAUCAUGCACGGACUUGGACUGAGGACUGCAGUGCGCACUUGGGACUUGUUGCAUUCUCUUGGGGUCUCUGGGUAUUCUGCGUGCAGAAUGCUUGGUUACUCCUAGUCUAUGUGGCUGUGUUCACACCAGCGCUUAGGAUGUUGACGAAAUGGCUUUAAACGACCCGUCUUGAAACACGGACCAAGGAGUCUAACAUAUAUGCAAGUGUUUGGGUGUUAAACUCAUUCGCGAAAUGAAAGUGAACGUAGGUGGGAUCCCUCGGGAGCACCAUCGACCGAUCUUGAUAUUUAUUGAUAGAUUUGAGUGUGAGCAUAUCUGUUGGGACCCGAAAGAUGGUGAACUAUGCCUGAAUAGGGUGAAGCCAGAGGAAACUCUGGUGGAGGCUCGUAGCGAUUCUGACGUGCAAAUCGAUCGUCAAAUUUGGGUAUAGGGGCGGAAAGACUAAUCGAACCAUCUAGUAGCUGGUUCCCUC